ACAACAGUUGGAAACGACUGCUAAUACCGCAUACGAUCUAAUCUCGGCAUCGAGGAUAGAUGAAAGGUGGCCUCUACAUGUAAGCUAUCACUGAAGGAGGGGAUUGCGUCUGAUUAGCUAGUUGGAGGGGUAACGGCCCACCAAGGCGAUGAUCAGUAGCCGGUCUGAGAGGAUGAGCGGCCACAUUGGGACUGAGACACGGCCCAGACUCCUACGGGAGGCAGCAUG
This 228-nucleotide ribosomal RNA is filed under the name uncultured bacterium. RNAcentral describes it as "partial 16S ribosomal RNA". It matches the Rfam family "Bacterial small subunit ribosomal RNA", at positions 143 to 353 of the family's 1533-position model. The record is from RNAcentral.